UACGUAGGUGGCAAGCGUUGUCCGGAUUUACUGGGCGUAAAGAGCGCGCAGGCGGUCGUUCAAGUCGCGUGUGAAAGCCCCCGGCUCAACUGGGGAGGGUCACGCGAUACUGUCGGACUAGAGUACAGAAGGGGCAACUGGAAUUCUCGGUGUAGCGGUGAAAUGCGUAGAUAUCGAGAGGAACACCUGCGGCGAAGGCGGGUUGCUGGGCUGAUACUGACGCUGAGGCGCGAAAGCCAGGGGAGCGAACGGG
RNAcentral lists this ribosomal RNA (253 nucleotides) under uncultured bacterium. RNAcentral describes it as "partial 16S ribosomal RNA". It matches the Rfam family "Bacterial small subunit ribosomal RNA", at positions 524 to 776 of the family's 1533-position model. The record is from RNAcentral.